Pistacia vera is the source of this 346-nucleotide long non-coding RNA. RefSeq lists it as uncharacterized. Lineage: Eukaryota; Viridiplantae; Streptophyta; Magnoliopsida; Sapindales; Anacardiaceae. The record is from RefSeq and is a predicted model, not a curated record. The transcript has 3 exons.
UAUUGAAGUUUUUCUAAAAUAAAUGCAGUUAAUAUUUAGCCAUAUUACCGUUGUUUAAAAUCGAACUAGUCCGCUCAUUUUACAAUUUUUCGCUUCAUCUCAGCAACUAAAUAUCUGAAACUCUCUUCUGGAGAUUGAAAAUUCAAAUUCAAUUUCGUUCAAAUGUUGUACGAGAAUCCGUUCUGAUUCUAGCUGUUGUGCGUGUUUGAAUGGCGGACGUUGUGGCGAACCAAGUGGGUGGUUCUUUUGGUGAUGCAAAUGAUGCCCAGAAAAAUGUGUUUGAUCUAGGCGCAUUUGUGGGGGACUUGACUUUUGAGGAAGAUGCAAGUGGGUAAGUUAAGAAUUG